CAUAGCCGUGGCGGAAACGUCCGGUACAUCAUGCACUACAAAUCCAACGUGUUGUGGGGUAGACGCCAUUUUUAGUAGCGAAUUUAUUUUUGCUAGGUAGCGGUAGCGAAGCGAUGGGUAUUGGCAGAAUUUGGUCUUGAAAGAGGAAUUUGGUUAAGGUGUAUUGGACAGUGAUGGUGAGUACAAAAUUCCAACAUAAUAAAUUUAUUUAUUUAUUAUUUCAGUUUCCCAACGGGAAAGUUUUCUCGAAAACCCCACGAAUUUUCGAAGAUCCUAUGAAGAAUGUAUUUUCACUAAACCGAAGAAAUAUUGGACAGGAUAUGGAGAAACCUGAAAGAUCUACACAGCCAUCAAAGACAAUAUAGGGAAAACUGGAAGAGGUAGAGUUUACUAGGAAUAUUAUCACCAGAUUGAUUAAAUACAUAGGGAGGACAAAACAGUUAAUCUCCCUAACAUAAUACCUCUACAAUGGUUCCAGGCAUAAUGAAAAAAAGCCCCUUAACAGGUGGAAACCACUCCAAUCAGAGCAACAUGUGUAUCCCUGUAAGUACCUUGGCUAGGAAGUCGAAGAGUUUAAUGUUUUAUCUACGAAGAAGGCUAACAAAUAUCGAGGAAGGUCGAGUACAAGAAAUUAACCUCUUACGAAAUGCCAUUGAAAGAAGUAAGAAAAUCCAAGAGGAAAGAAAUAAAAUUUUGCACUUACUAAAAAAAGAACAAUAAUUUGAAAAUAUA
This is a long non-coding RNA of Cylas formicarius (sweet potato weevil), 732 nucleotides long. RefSeq lists it as uncharacterized. NCBI's taxonomy places the organism in Eukaryota, Metazoa, Arthropoda, Insecta, Coleoptera, Brentidae. The transcript is spliced from 3 exons. The record is from RefSeq and is a predicted model, not a curated record.